GACGAAGGUGGCGAGCGUUACUCGGAAUUACUAGGCGUAAAGGGUGGGUAGGCGGUUCGGUCAGUCUGUUGUGAAAGCCUCGGGCUUAACCCGGGGAGGCCAAUGGAUACUGCCGGACUUGAAUGUGGGAGAGGGGACUGGAAUUCCCGGUGUAGCGGUGAAAUGCGUAGAGAUCGGGAGGAACACCAAUGGCGAAGGCAGGUCCCUGGACCACUAUUGACGCUGAACCACGAAAGCUGGGGGAUCAAACAGG
This 253-nucleotide ribosomal RNA is filed under the name uncultured bacterium. RNAcentral's name for it is "partial 16S ribosomal RNA". It matches the Rfam family "Bacterial small subunit ribosomal RNA", at positions 524 to 776 of the family's 1533-position model. The record is from RNAcentral.